This 389-nucleotide ribosomal RNA is filed under the name uncultured Pseudomonas sp. RNAcentral's name for it is "bacterial SSU rRNA". It matches the Rfam family "Bacterial small subunit ribosomal RNA", at positions 993 to 1382 of the family's 1533-position model. The record is from RNAcentral. Lineage: Bacteria; Pseudomonadati; Pseudomonadota; Gammaproteobacteria; Pseudomonadales; Pseudomonadaceae.
UGACCGCGUAUGAAAGUACGUUUCACCUCGGGUGACAGGACACAGGUGCUGCAUGGCUGUCGUCAGCUCAUGUCGUGAGAUGUUGGGUUAAGUCCCGUAACGAGCGCAACCCUUGUCCUUAGUUACCAGCACGUAAUGGUGGGCACUCUAAGGAGACUGCCGGUGACAAACCGGAGGAAGUGGGGAUGACGUCAAGUCAUCAUGGCCCUUACGGCCAGGGCUACACACGUGCUACAAUGGUCGGUACAAAGGGUUGCCAAGCCGCGAGGUGGAGCUAAUCCCAUAAAACCGAUCGUAGUCCGGAUCGCAGUCUGCAACUCGACUGCGUGAAGUCGGAAUCGCUAGUAAUCGUGAAUCAGAAUGUCACGGUGAAUACGUUCCCGGGCCUU